Molecule: unclassified non-coding RNA, 555 nt
Filed under: Closterium peracerosum-strigosum-littorale complex
Lineage: Eukaryota; Viridiplantae; Streptophyta; Zygnematophyceae; Desmidiales; Closteriaceae
Description: ITS2
Source: RNAcentral
ACAUCCAGGUGGAGCCACGCAUCCGCACCCACACCCUCCGCACGCGGCUACGUGCGGCCGGGUGAACGGGACGGAACUGCCAAAAUGCGUCGGCAUACGAGGGGCGCUCGGGUUUUGCUCGAGACAAUCGCCCGUACCUGGGAAAACGAGAUGGCCGUCGCAACCCGUGCACAACGGGGGGCAGUCGGCUGAAAUCGCAGGGCCGCCGCAAGCCCGUCUCCUCUCCGUCUCGACCCCAGUGCAGAUCCCCGGAUGCCAACCGGGAGGACGCGAGCGGGACGAGCGAAACGAGGCGGGUGGCGACCCCGCUGGGCUCGGUGAACCCAGCCGGCCAACGGACCCCGUCCGGACCUCCCAGCAGGUGGGGGGGUAUCGGAUGCCAAACCGUUCCUCUUUUCCUCUCCCGAGAAGGCCGCGAAACGGAAAAAUGGAGCCGAGGGCGUGGCAACCCUCGGUCUCCGCCCUCCAAAGUAGCGUGCACGGACCGGGCGAGGGGCGGACGGGGCCCGUACAAAAAUGGUCGGACCGGGGAAGAACCGGGCAAACCCCCAAGCG